GACCCGAAAGAUGGUGAACUACGCCUGGUCAGGACUACGUCGAGGGAAACCCUGAUGGAGGUCCGCAGCGAUUCUGACGUGCAAAUAGAUCGUCGGAAGAGAGUAUAGAGGUGAAAGACUAAUCGAACCAUAUUAGCUGG
This 140-nucleotide non-coding RNA is filed under the name Oryctes borbonicus. RNAcentral describes it as "Eukaryotic large subunit ribosomal RNA". It matches the Rfam family "Eukaryotic large subunit ribosomal RNA", at positions 813 to 954 of the family's 3401-position model. The record is from Rfam by way of RNAcentral. Lineage: Eukaryota; Metazoa; Arthropoda; Insecta; Coleoptera; Scarabaeidae.